GACGUAGGAGGCGAGCGUUGUCCGGAAUCAUUGGGCGUAAAGGGCGCGCAGGUGGCCCCGCGCGCCCCGGGUGAAAGCCCCCGGCUCAACCGGGGGGGGUCCCGGGGGACGGCGGGGCUGGAGGCGGGGAGAGGCCGGUGGAAUUCGGGGUGGAGCGGUGAAAUGCGUAGAGCCCCCGAGGAACACCCGUGGCGAAGGCGGCCGGCUGGGCCCGUCCUGACACUGAGGCGCGAAGGCCGGGGGAGCGAACGGG
This 253-nucleotide ribosomal RNA is filed under the name uncultured bacterium. RNAcentral describes it as "partial 16S ribosomal RNA". It matches the Rfam family "Bacterial small subunit ribosomal RNA", at positions 524 to 776 of the family's 1533-position model. The record is from RNAcentral.